GCUGGUAUAGCUCAGUUGGCAGAGCAGCUCAUUCGUAAUGAGCAGGUCGCGGGUUCAAGUCCCAUUACCAGCUCCA
RNAcentral lists this transfer RNA (76 nucleotides) under Bacillota bacterium. RNAcentral describes it as "tRNA-Thr". It matches the Rfam family "tRNA". Rfam says of the family: Transfer RNA (tRNA) molecules are approximately 80 nucleotides in length. Their secondary structure includes four short double-helical elements and three loops (D, anti-codon, and T loops). Further hydrogen bonds mediate the characteristic L-shaped molecular structure. tRNAs have two regions of fundamental functional importance: the anti-codon, which is responsible for specific mRNA codon recognition, and the 3' end, to which the tRNAs corresponding amino acid is attached (by aminoacyl-tRNA synthetases). tRNAs cope with the degeneracy of the genetic code in two manners: having more than one tRNA (with a specific anti-codon) for a particular amino acid; and 'wobble' base-pairing, i.e. permitting non-standard base-pairing at the 3rd anti-codon position. The record is from RNAcentral. Lineage: Bacteria; Bacillati; Bacillota.